CAUUAGAUGGCUGAAAGUAAGCGAUGGUCUCUUAAACCAUUUAAUAGUAAUUUACAUCUACUUCUAAUGG
Molecule: transfer RNA, 70 nt
Filed under: Phaneroptera gracilis (slender bush katydid)
Lineage: Eukaryota; Metazoa; Arthropoda; Insecta; Orthoptera; Tettigoniidae
Description: tRNA-Lys
Rfam family: tRNA
About the family: Transfer RNA (tRNA) molecules are approximately 80 nucleotides in length. Their secondary structure includes four short double-helical elements and three loops (D, anti-codon, and T loops).
Source: RNAcentral